This 253-nucleotide ribosomal RNA is filed under the name uncultured bacterium. RNAcentral's name for it is "partial 16S ribosomal RNA". It matches the Rfam family "Bacterial small subunit ribosomal RNA", at positions 524 to 776 of the family's 1533-position model. The record is from RNAcentral.
UACAGAGGGUGCAAGCGUUAAUCGGAAUUACUGGGCGUAAAGCGUGCGUAGACGGUUACAUAAGUCAGAUGUGAAAGCCCCGGGCUCAACCUGGGAAUUGCGAUGGAGACUGCAAGGCUUGAAUCUGGCAGAGGGGGGUGGAAUUCCACGUGUAGCAGUGAAAUGCGUAGAGAUGUGGAGGAACACCGAUGGCGAAGGCAGCCCCCUGGGUCAAGAUUGACGCUCAUGCACGAAAGCGUGGGGAGCAAACAGG